This 207-nucleotide ribosomal RNA is filed under the name uncultured bacterium. RNAcentral describes it as "partial 16S ribosomal RNA". It matches the Rfam family "Bacterial small subunit ribosomal RNA", at positions 568 to 774 of the family's 1533-position model. The record is from RNAcentral.
CAUGUAGGCGGUUAGGUAAGUCUGAUGUGAAAUCCCGGGGCUCAACCCCGGACGUGCAUUGGAUACUGCUAGACUAGAGUACAGGAGGGGUGAGCGGAAUUCCAGGUGUAGAGGUGAAAUUCGUAGAUAUCUGGAGGAACAACGGAGGCGAAGGCGGCUCACUGGACUGUAACUGACGUUGAGAUGCGAAAGUGUGGGGAGCGAACG